This is a non-coding RNA of Pelobates cultripes (western spadefoot toad), 217 nucleotides long. The record is from the annotation of a GenBank genome assembly. NCBI's taxonomy places the organism in Eukaryota, Metazoa, Chordata, Amphibia, Anura, Pelobatidae.
CGGUAACCAACCUGCUAAGCUGCCGACGGUGUACACAGGGAUACCUUACACGACCCCGUACGGCAUCAAAGUAUCCCAAUCGAGGCCUAUCUGAGCUUGAGCUGGGGCGAGGAGGCCACUCUCCCACUUCUCCAACCGGCGCUUUGCUGUCUUCUCCCCCCGGACCGGCAAGGGUUAUCCCAGUCCCCACUGGAAACCACCUUUGACUACAGCAGCC